GGUUGACCUCGGAUCAGGUAGGGAUACCCGCUGAACUUAAGCAUAUCAAUAAGCGGAGGAAAAGAAACCAACAGGGAUUACCUCAGUAACGGCGAGUGAAGCGGUAACAGCUCAAAUUUGAAAGCUGCCAACAGGCCGCGUUGUAAUUUGUAGAAGAUGCUUUGGGGGUCGGCCUAGUCUAAGUUCCUUGGAACAGGACGUCAUAGAGGGUGAGAAUCCCGUAUGUGAUUAGUGCCGGCUCCCGUGUAAAGCUCUUUCGACGAGUCGAGUUGUUUGGGAAUGCAGCUCAAAAUGGGUGGUAUAUUUCAUCUAAAGCUAAAUAUUGGCCAGAGACCGAUAGCGCACAAGUAGAGUGAUCGAAAGAUGAAAAGCACUUUGGAAAGAGAGUUAAACAGUACGUGAAAUUGUUGAAAGGGAAGCGCUUGCAACCAGACUUGCAGGCGGUCGAUCAUCCGAGGUUCUCCCCGGUGCACUCGAUCGUCUUCAGGCCAGCAUCGGUUUUGGUGGCGGGAUAAAGGCUCUAGGAAUGUGGCUCUUCGGAGUGUUAUAGCCUAGGGUGCAAUGCCGCCUACCGGGACCGAGGACCGCGCUUCGGCUAGGAUGCUGGCGUAAUGGUUGUAAGCGGCCCGUCUUGAAACACGGACCAAGGAGUCUAACAUCUAUGCGAGUGUUUGGGUGUCAAACCCAUACGCGUAAUGAAAGUGAACGGAGGUGAGAGCCCUUUAGGGCGCAUCAUCGACCGAUCCUGAUGUCUUCGGAUGGAUUUGAGUAAGAGCAUAGCUGUUGGGACCCGAAAGAUGGUGAACUAUGCGUGAAUAGGGUGAAGCCAGAGGAAACUCUGGUGGAGGCUCGCAGCGGUUCUGACGUGCAAAUCGAUCGUCAAAUUUGCGUAUAGGGGCGAAAGACUAAUCG
RNAcentral lists this ribosomal RNA (912 nucleotides) under Barrenia panicia. Its description in RNAcentral is "eukaryotic LSU rRNA". It matches the Rfam family "Eukaryotic large subunit ribosomal RNA", at positions 1 to 937 of the family's 3401-position model. Lineage: Eukaryota; Fungi; Ascomycota; Leotiomycetes; Helotiales; Mollisiaceae. The record is from RNAcentral.